GCCAGUGUGGUGUAGUGGUUUGAGCAUUGGACUCUGGAGACCAGGGUUCAAAUCCCUGCUCAGUCA
This is a non-coding RNA of Phrynosoma platyrhinos (Desert horned lizard), 66 nucleotides long. The record is from the annotation of a GenBank genome assembly. NCBI's taxonomy places the organism in Eukaryota, Metazoa, Chordata, Lepidosauria, Squamata, Phrynosomatidae.